CCGAAUCAACGCCGUUUUAUUAUUUAUUUUCUAUUUAUUCGCAUACGCGCCCGCAAAGGCCCGAAUGCGCAUCGCACGAUUGAUGAGAUUAUUAUUAUUGUUUUGCUCGAUAUUUUUCGCGGCGCGAGAACCGUUCGCACGGUCUCGGAGAAACGAUUGUAAACGGUCGCGGAGAUGAUCGGCGGGAAAAAAAAAACACCGCCGAUAUCGCAAUUCACGGACUCCUCGGAUUUUCUUGUCUUUUUUUUUUUUUUUUUUUCUUUCUCUCCAAAUAAUACCGCCGGUCACACGGUACCGUUGUAUUUUCUCGCCAAACGCCAUUUAUAUGUACGAACGGUUUUAUGUUAUACCGACGAGAGACGGACGAAAAACCGACAGAUUAUCGAGUCCGACGUUCCCACGACAAACGUGAUAUAUACGUAUGUGUGUGUAUAAGGCCCGGGUCACUUUUUUUUUUUUUUUAUUCUUUUUUUUACCCGUAAACGUUUUUCCCCUCCCGAUCUCACCGUCCGUUACGAUGUUAUACAUCACAGCGUCCGCCGUACAGUAUGCGUACCUACCGUGCAAUCGCUCGUACGUUCAGAAUUCGUUUUCUAUCUCCCACGCCUCCGUGUCCGCAGCGGCGAAAAUCCCGAUACGACAAUACAUUAGUUAAAAAAAAAAAAACACACACACAAACCCCGUAGAACAUCAGCAUUAUUACAGCGAGUGCGUGCGCGUGCGGUUUUUUUCAACACCAUUUACCUAAUGCCCGUGUAAAACAAUAAUAUUUAAUGUGGUUUUUUUUUUACCUCUAAUCGAUCGCCCCCCGCAGUUUUAAGUACCGUAGGUUUUUUUUUUUUACGUGAUACGACAUAAUAUAGGUACCUAUAUUUUCUAAUAUUCUUAUGUAUAUUAAUAUAAAUAAUAAUACCCUUGUAAUUUUUAUGACGAUAAAUUUCAUAAAAAAAAAAAAAAAAUAAAAAAAAAAAUAUAAAAAAAAUUGACAUUUGCCAUUUACGACGACACGAGUUGUUUUUGUGCCAUCUCCUCUCGACCAUACCCCCUCCCCACACCCUCUAACCACGUCCCCGCCACUCCUAGUAAAGAAAAAAAAAAAUAAAUAAAUAAAUAAACACAAUAAUAUAUUUUAUUAGAAAACGAUACCCCGUUAUGAAUACGAGUAUGUGUACACAGAGAAACGUAAAAUAAAUAUUAUCAACGGCACGAACACGCGAAACCGAAUAAAUAUCAUGAAUAAAUAAAUAAAUAACAAUUUUGUACAUAUUAAAUUGAUAAUUUGCGCGCCGUCAUCGCGUCAACACCGUCUGCAUUACAUUACGUUCGGACCGUGUAUAAAAUACUCAUACGCAUACAUACACACGAACCUACUCGCACAUUAUUAUAUACAGUCGUUAUACAUUUAUGUACCCAUAAUAUAAUAACAAUACCUAUAUAUGUAUAUAUAUAUAUGUAUGUAUACGUAUAUAUGUAUAUAUAUACGUAUAUGUAUAUAAAUAAAUUGAAAAUAAAUAAUAAAACUAUUUUGUAAAUACAUUAUAACAUUAUAUUUAAUUAUUAUUGUUGUGUCGUGAUUAAGUAUAUAUUAUUCAUAUUAUUAAAAUAUUUAAUAUGAUAUUAUGAAAUUUACGGAAAAGAAAAAAAUUAUAAAAAUAGGGUAUUUAUUUUUUAAGUGACGGAUAAAAUUUUAUUGCACGCGCGCAUCUAUACACGAGAAUCAUCGCCGCGCGUAAACAAUCCGGUCUGCCGUUUCGGUUCCGACGGAUAUUACGACGCAUUUGUGCGUUCGAAAACGGUAGUUUUAAAAGAAAAAAAAAAAAAGAAUUCCAAAUUCAUAACUCUCGAAUCAACAAAAUUUUACAUACAUACAUAUGUGCGUGUAUGCGUGCGCGCGUGUACGCGACAAAUCGUUUAGUGAUUAUUUUUAUUUUUAUUUUUUUUUUCCUGUUGCGUUUUUAGUUGUACAAAAAAAAAAAAAAAUAAUAAAUACGUUUUUGAUACGAAAUAAUGUUUCGUGACCGUCGCACACGCGCACCGUGUGUCGAUUAUAUUA
Cinara cedri is the source of this 2053-nucleotide non-coding RNA. NCBI's taxonomy places the organism in Eukaryota, Metazoa, Arthropoda, Insecta, Hemiptera, Aphididae. The record is from the annotation of a GenBank genome assembly.